UACGUAGGGGGCUAGCGUUGUCCGGAAUCAUUGGGCGUAAAGAGCGCGUAGGCGGCCAGACAAGUCCGGUGUGAAAGUCACAGGCUCAACCUGUGAAUGCCGCUGGAUACUGCCGGGCUAGAGUCCGGAAGAGGCGAGUGGAACUCCUGGUGUAGCGGUGGAAUGCGCAGAUAUCAGGAAGAACACCAACGGCGAAGGCAGCUCGCUGGGACGGUACUGACGCUGAGACGCGAAAGCGUGGGGAGCGAACAGG
Molecule: ribosomal RNA, 253 nt
Filed under: uncultured bacterium
Lineage: Bacteria
Description: partial 16S ribosomal RNA
Rfam family: Bacterial small subunit ribosomal RNA
Source: RNAcentral